ACCUUAUCCUGCACUUCUCAUUUUAUUUGAUUCAUCUGGAUGUCUCUCCCUCUCCAUACACAAGUACACCUGUCAACUCACAUGAUCAUUCCUCCUUUUUCUGCCCCUCCCUUCUGCUGCGCUGCAGAUAGUCUGUUCAUUGCUCAACCUGUGGUGGCGAGUCAGUGGAGCCACAAAUCUGCAUGCGGGCGUAUGGAGCUGAUGACAAUGUGACAGUCUGACCCCAGUAGCCACUUCCCUCUGAGAAGAUCCUGUUUCGUAAUGUUGGUCAAUUGUCAGAAGUUGUCUUGGUCUUGUGAGGUCAAAAUGCAAACAGCAUGAUGAAGACGAGAUUUUAAUGCCAACUGUAACUGCACCACGUAUGUAUCAAACCCAUGCUGUGAAUUUGGUUGUUCAGCACCUUGUUUGUGAACUGCCAGUUUUGCAAAAAAAAUACUGAAGCACUGAAAGAGUCUAAAAGGUCCAUUCAACAUUUUAAAGAAAGUCAAAUUAAACUUACCUGCAAAGAAAG
Syngnathus typhle (broad-nosed pipefish) is the source of this 511-nucleotide long non-coding RNA. RefSeq lists it as uncharacterized. Lineage: Eukaryota; Metazoa; Chordata; Actinopteri; Syngnathiformes; Syngnathidae. The transcript has 3 exons. The record is from RefSeq and is a predicted model, not a curated record.